UGAGGAAUAUUGGUCAAUGGGCGAGAGCCUGAACCAGCCAAGUAGCGUGCAGGAUGACGGCCCUAUGGGUUGUAAACUGCUUUUAUAUGGGAAUAAAGUGAGGGACGUGUCCCUUAUUGCAUGUACCAUAUGAAUAAGGACCGGCUAAUUCCCUGCCAGCAGCCGCGGUAAUACGGAAGGUCCAGGCGUUAUCCGGAUUUAUUGGGUUUAAAGGGAGCGUAGGCUGUUUGUUAAGCGUGUUGUGAAAUGUAAGAGCUCAACUUUUAGAUUGCAGCGCGAACUGGCAGACUUGAGUGCGCACAACGUAGGCGGAAUUCAUGGUGUAGCGGUGAAAUGCUUAGAUAUCAUGACGAACUCCGAUUGCGAAGGCAGCUUACGGGAGCGCAACUGACGCUAAAGCUCGAAGGUGCGGGUAUCGAACAGG
Molecule: ribosomal RNA, 424 nt
Filed under: Verrucomicrobiota bacterium
Lineage: Bacteria; Pseudomonadati; Verrucomicrobiota
Description: Verrucomicrobia bacterium partial 16S ribosomal RNA
Rfam family: Bacterial small subunit ribosomal RNA
Source: RNAcentral